CAGAUCCGAGGCCGAUUCGCUCGGAAUCAACCGACGGAAUCCAAUGGCGGAUGGACGUCGGCCACAAGCGAUCGCGAGGCUCGAAACGAGAUUGCGGAGGAAAGAAUCCAGCAGAACUAAGAAAAACCAGAGAGAGAGAGAGAGACCUGAUUGGAAGGAUCGGAG
Rhodamnia argentea is the source of this 165-nucleotide long non-coding RNA. RefSeq lists it as uncharacterized. The record is from RefSeq and is a predicted model, not a curated record. NCBI's taxonomy places the organism in Eukaryota, Viridiplantae, Streptophyta, Magnoliopsida, Myrtales, Myrtaceae. The transcript is spliced from 3 exons.